RNAcentral lists this ribosomal RNA (253 nucleotides) under uncultured bacterium. RNAcentral's name for it is "partial 16S ribosomal RNA". It matches the Rfam family "Bacterial small subunit ribosomal RNA", at positions 524 to 776 of the family's 1533-position model. The record is from RNAcentral.
UACGGAGGGUGCAAGCGUUGUCCGGAAUCACUGGGCGUAAAGGGCGCGUAGGCGGCUGUUCAAGUCGGGGGUGAAAGCCUGUGGCUCAACCACAGAAUUGCCUUCGAUACUGGACGGCUCGAGACCGGAAGAGGUCAGUGGAACUGCGAGUGUAGAGGUGAAAUUCGUAGAUAUUCGCAAGAACACCAGUGGCGAAGGCGGCUGACUGGUCCGGUUCUGACGCUGAGGCGCGAAAGCGUGGGGAGCAAACAGG